RNAcentral lists this ribosomal RNA (557 nucleotides) under uncultured bacterium. RNAcentral describes it as "bacterial SSU rRNA". It matches the Rfam family "Bacterial small subunit ribosomal RNA", at positions 341 to 916 of the family's 1533-position model. The record is from RNAcentral.
UCGGGAGGCAGCAGUGGGGAAUCUUAGACAAUGGGGGCAACCCUGAUCUAGCCAUGCCGCGUGAGUGAUGAAGGCCUUAGGGUCGUAAAGCUCUUUCGCCUGUGAUGAUAAUGACAGUAGCAGGUAAAGAAACCCCGGCUAACUCCGUGCCAGCAGCCGCGGUAAUACGGAGGGGGUUAGCGUUGUUCGGAAUUACUGGGCGUAAAGCGCGCGUAGGCGGAUUAGAAAGUUGGGGGUGAAAUCCCGGGGCUCAACCCCGGAACUGCCUCCAAAACUGCUAGUCUAGAGUUCGAGAGAGGUGAGUGGAAUUCCGAGUGUAGAGGUGAAAUUCGUAGAUAUUCGGAGGAACACCAGUGGCGAAGGCGGCUCACUGGCUCGAUACUGACGCUGAGGUGCGAAAGUGUGGGGAGCAAACAGGAUUAGAUACCCUGGUAGUCCACACCGUAAACGAUGAAUGCCAGUCGUCGGGUACUAUACUAUUCGGUGACACACCUAACGGAUUAAGCAUUCCGCCUGGGGAGUACGGUCGCAAGAUUAAAACUCAAAUGAAUUGACGG